This 22-nucleotide microRNA is filed under the name Drosophila melanogaster (fruit fly). Its description in RNAcentral is "dme-miR-9380-5p". The record is from miRBase by way of RNAcentral. Lineage: Eukaryota; Metazoa; Arthropoda; Insecta; Diptera; Drosophilidae.
GCUCCUGCUGCAUCUGUUGGCG